Molecule: ribosomal RNA, 463 nt
Filed under: uncultured bacterium
Lineage: Bacteria
Description: partial 16S ribosomal RNA
Rfam family: Bacterial small subunit ribosomal RNA
Source: RNAcentral
GACGAACGCUGGCGGCGUGCUUAACACAUGCAAGUCGAACGGUAAGGCCCUUUCGGGGGUACACGAGUGGCGAACGGGUGAGUAACACGUGGGUGAUCUGCCCUGCACUUUGGGAUAAGCCUGGGAAACUGGGUCUAAUACCGGAUAGGACUACGCGAUGCAUGUCGUGUGGUGGAAAGCUUUUGCGGUGUGGGAUGGGCCCGCGGCCUAUCAGCUUGUUGGUGGGGUGAUGGCCUACCAAGGCGACGACGGGUAGCCGGCCUGAGAGGGUGUCCGGCCACACUGGGACUGGGAUACGGCCCAGACUCCUACGGGAGGCAGCAGUGGGGAAUAUUGCACAAUGGGCGCAAGCCUGAUGCAGCGACGCCGCGUGGGGGAUGACGGCCUUCGGGUUGUAAACCCCUUUCAGCACAGACGAAGCGUAAGUGACGGUAUGUGCAGAAGAAGCACCGGCCAACUACGU